RNAcentral lists this ribosomal RNA (484 nucleotides) under uncultured bacterium. RNAcentral's name for it is "partial 16S ribosomal RNA". It matches the Rfam family "Bacterial small subunit ribosomal RNA", at positions 29 to 507 of the family's 1533-position model. The record is from RNAcentral.
AUUGAACGCUGGCGGAAUGCUUUACACAUGCAAGUCGAGCGGCAGCGCGGCCUUCGGGCUGGCGGCGAGCGGCGAACGGGUGAGUAAUGCAUCGGAACAUGCCCAGUCGUGGGGGAUAACACUUCGAAAGAAGUGCUAAUACCGCAUACGUCCUGAGGGGGAAAGCGGGGGAUCGCAAGACCUCGCGCGAUUGGAGUGGCCGAUGUCAGAUUAGCUAGUUGGUGGGGUAAAGGCCUACCAAGGCGACGAUCUGUAGCUGGUCUGAGAGGAUGAUCAGCCACACUGGAACUGAGACACGGCCCAGACUCCUACGGGAGGCAGCAGUGGGGAAUUUUGGACAAUGGGGGCAAGCCUGAUCCAGCCAUUCCGCGUGAGUGAAGAAGGCCUUCGGGUUGUAAAGCUCUUUCGGCAGGAACGAAACGGUGGGCUCUAACAUAGUCCGCUAAUGACGGUACCUGAAGAAGAAGCACCGGCUAACUACGUG